AUGGGUUGAAAAUCACCCCAGCUUUGGCCAUGGCUAUGGGUGAGAUUCUGAGCCUAGAGCCACCAGGGGUCUCAGCUCACCUUCCACUGCUUCGAUGUGGGGAGGUGAAACCCAGGCCUUGACAGGG
Molecule: small nucleolar RNA, 127 nt
Organism: Oryctolagus cuniculus (rabbit)
Lineage: Eukaryota; Metazoa; Chordata; Mammalia; Lagomorpha; Leporidae
Source: Ensembl